This 23-nucleotide microRNA is filed under the name anatid alphaherpesvirus 1. Its description in RNAcentral is "dev-miR-D5-5p". Its record names the gene dev-miR-D5-5p. The record is from miRBase by way of RNAcentral. Lineage: Duplodnaviria; Heunggongvirae; Peploviricota; Herviviricetes; Herpesvirales; Orthoherpesviridae.
UGUCAUCUGCGACGUCCUGCUCG